This 468-nucleotide ribosomal RNA is filed under the name uncultured bacterium. RNAcentral describes it as "partial 16S ribosomal RNA". It matches the Rfam family "Bacterial small subunit ribosomal RNA", at positions 28 to 507 of the family's 1533-position model. The record is from RNAcentral.
GACGAACGCUGGCGGCGUGCUUAACACAUGCAAGUCGAACGGAAAGGCCCUGCUUUUGUGGGGUGCUCGAGUGGCGAAAGGGUGAGUAACACGUGAGUAACCUGCCCUUGACUUUGGGAUAACUUCAGGAAACUGGGGCUAAUACCGGAUAGGAGCUCCUGCUGCAAGGUGGGGGUUGGAAAGUUUCGGCGGUUGGGGAUGGACUCGCGGCUUAUCAGCUUGUUGGUGGGGUAGUGGCUUACCAAGGCUUUGACGGGUAGCCGGCAUGAGAGGGUGACCGGCCACAUUGGGACUGAGAUACGGCCCAGACUCCUACGGGAGGCAGCAGUGGGGAAUAUUGCACAAUGGGCGGAAGCCUGAUGCAGCAACGCCGCGUGCGGGAUGACGGCCUUCGGGUUGUAAACCGCUUUCGCCUGUGACGAAGCGUGAGUGACGGUAAUGGGUAAAGAAGCACCGGCUAACUACGUG